Molecule: transfer RNA, 82 nt
Filed under: bacterium 336/3
Lineage: Bacteria; Pseudomonadati
Rfam family: tRNA
About the family: Transfer RNA (tRNA) molecules are approximately 80 nucleotides in length.
Source: Rfam by way of RNAcentral
GCGGAAGUGGCGGAAUUGGUAUACGUGUACGUUUGAGGUGCGUAUGAGGCAACUCGUGGGGGUUCGAGUCCCCCCUUUCGCA